This 62-nucleotide transfer RNA is filed under the name Scymninae sp. 4 ACP-2013. RNAcentral describes it as "tRNA-Asp". Lineage: Eukaryota; Metazoa; Arthropoda; Insecta; Coleoptera; Coccinellidae. The record is from RNAcentral.
AAAAAUUUAGUUAAAAUAUAACAUUAGUUUGUCAAACUAAAAUUAUUUAAAAAUAAUUUUUA